RNAcentral lists this ribosomal RNA (495 nucleotides) under uncultured bacterium. Its description in RNAcentral is "SSU rRNA". It matches the Rfam family "Bacterial small subunit ribosomal RNA", at positions 26 to 519 of the family's 1533-position model. The record is from RNAcentral.
AGGAUGAACGCUGGCGGCAUGCCUAAUACAUGCAAGUCGAACGGAAUCUUAUAUGUUCCUCGUUUCGGAUGUAAAUCCGCGUUGAGGAACAGUAAGAUUUAGUGGCGGACGGGUGAGUAACACGUUGGUACCUACCCUCUAGUGGGGAAUAACUUCGAGAAAUCGAGGCUAAUACCGCAUAAUAUCUACGGAUUAAAGCAUUUAUGCGCUAGAGGAGGGGCCUGCGUCUGAUUAGCUUGUUGGUGAGGUAAAAGCUCACCAAGGCGACGAUCAGUAGCUGGAUCGAGAGGUUGACCAGCCACACUGGGACUGAGAUACGGCCCAGACUCCUACGGGAGGCAGCAGUAAGGAAUCUUCCACAAUGGGCGAAAGCCUGAUGGAGCAAUGCCGCGUGCAGGAUGACGGUCCUUCGGGUUGUAAACUGCUUUUUAUAUGGGAAGAUUAUGACGGUACCAUAUGAAUAAGGACCGGACUAACUACGUGCCAGCAGCCGUA